RNAcentral lists this long non-coding RNA (870 nucleotides) under Monodelphis domestica (gray short-tailed opossum). RNAcentral describes it as "lncRNA (ENSMODG00000047296.1)". The record is from RNAcentral. Lineage: Eukaryota; Metazoa; Chordata; Mammalia; Didelphimorphia; Didelphidae.
GGAGGGAGGCGACACUAAAUUCUCUCCUGACACCAACUGUAUCUUUUUCAGAACCGAAAAGGGAAACAACUCCGUCCUUGACCUUCAACAAGAAAUUGACUCAGCUAGCUUAACUAUUCAAACAAACAACUGUGUACUCUCUUCAAUUCCGGGGAUGAGUUUGAUUUACCGUAAAUGACUGCAUUUAAUGAACUAAAUUAUGCUAUUUAAAUGCAUUUUGUGAAUGGGAGCGCCGUUUGUUACCCGGCGCUCUGGCGAGGCUAAAUUGUGCUGUAAAUGAUAUGAUAUGGAACAUAUGUGCGGCAUUCAUAAUUUAAGGGUUGCUAUGGCGCGCCUUGUCGGGAGGCCACACUGAGUAGCGAGUCUUUAUUUACCUGCUGAAAUGAAGGUGAUAUCUCCGCGAAUCACGAGGUCUCGCUGACCUUGGCAGAAUUACAGAGCUAAUAUUUUCACAUGGAUGAGCUGUUCCGGCGCGAUCUCUCUGAUGGCGAUGACACAGAUCGGCUUCCUGCGGCGCAGCGCCGAUUUCUCCCGGCUUUUGGCUUCCCCGCCCUUCUUUCCUCGCACAAACAUUUGCGGCUGCCUCCACGAGGGCCAUCCUCCCUCCGUUAAGAUGAGGAAACUGAGUCGGAGAAAGGCUAAGACGUUUGUCUGGGGUCUCACAGAUAAAGCAAACCCCAAUUUUACCACAAUGGAGUUUUGUCCUUGAGUACUACUACAUGAAUGGAGGCGGGAUGAUGGAUCAAAGUGAGCCCAACAGAGGAAAGCCUCUCUCCAAUUCAUUUCCCUGAGCACCCCAAAUAUUAAGAGCAGUGCCUGGACCAGGCAUCCAGGAUAAGGAAUAAACCAAGAGUAGAUUUUCCUUCUACA